AGUGGCGAACGGGUGAGUAAAGUAUCGGAACGUGCCCAGUCGUGGGGGAUAACGUAGCGAAAGUUACGCUAAUACCGCAUACGAUCUAUGGAUGAAAGCGGGGGAUCGCAAGACCUCGCGCGAUUGGAGCGGCCGAUAUCAAAUUAGGUAGUUGGUGGGGUAAAGGCUCACCAAGCCGACGAUCUGUAGCUGGUCUGAGAGGACGACCACCCACACUGGGACUGAGACACGGCCCACACUCCUACGGGAGGCAGCAGUGGGGAAUUUUGGACAAUGGGCGCAAGCCUGAUCCAGCCAUGCCGCGUGCGGAAAGAAGGCCUUCGGGUUGUAAACCGCUUUUGUCAGGAAAGAAAAGGUUCUGGUUAAUACCUGGGACUCAUGACGGUACCUGAAGAAUAAGCACCGGCUAACUACGUGCCAGCAGCCGCGGUAAUACGUAGGGUGCAAGCGUUAAUCGGAAUUACUGGGCGUAAAGCGUGCGCAGGCGGUUAUGCAAGACAGAGGUGAAAUCCCCGGGCUCAACCUGGGAACUGCCUUUGUGACUGCAUAGCUAGAGUGCGGCAGAGGGGGAUGGAAUUCCGCGUGUAGCAGUGAAAUGCGUAUAUAUGCGGAGGAACACCGAUGGCGAAGGCCACUCCCUCUGGGCCUGCACUGACGCUCAUGCACGAAAGCGUGG
This 676-nucleotide ribosomal RNA is filed under the name uncultured Curvibacter sp. RNAcentral's name for it is "bacterial SSU rRNA". It matches the Rfam family "Bacterial small subunit ribosomal RNA", at positions 94 to 764 of the family's 1533-position model. Lineage: Bacteria; Pseudomonadati; Pseudomonadota; Betaproteobacteria; Burkholderiales; Comamonadaceae. The record is from RNAcentral.